RNAcentral lists this ribosomal RNA (200 nucleotides) under uncultured bacterium. RNAcentral's name for it is "partial 16S ribosomal RNA". It matches the Rfam family "Bacterial small subunit ribosomal RNA", at positions 29 to 258 of the family's 1533-position model. The record is from RNAcentral.
AACGAACGCUGGCGGCAGGCUUAACACAUGCAAGUCGAGCGCGUAGCAAUACGAGCGGCAGACGGGUGAGUAACGCGUGGGAAUCUACCCAACUCUACGGAAUAACUCAGGGAAACUUGUGCUAAUACCGUAUACGCCCUUCGGGGGAAGGAUUUAUCGGAGUUGGAUGAGCCCGCGUUGGAUUAGCUAGUUGGUGGGGU